RNAcentral lists this ribosomal RNA (497 nucleotides) under uncultured bacterium. RNAcentral describes it as "partial 16S ribosomal RNA". It matches the Rfam family "Bacterial small subunit ribosomal RNA", at positions 28 to 507 of the family's 1533-position model. The record is from RNAcentral.
GAUGAACGCUGGCGGCGUGCCUAAUACAUGCAAGUCGAGCGAACAGACGAGGAGCUUGCUCCUCUGACGUUAGCGGCGGACGGGUGAGUAACACGUGGAUAACCUACCUAUAAGACUGGGAUAACUUCGGGAAACCGGAGCUAAUACCGGAUAAUAUAUUGAACCGCAUGGUUAAAUAGUGAAAGACGGUUUUGCUGUCACUUAUAGAUGGAUCCGCGCCGCAUUAGCUAGUUGGUAAGGUAACGGCUUACCAAGGCGACGAUGCGUAGCCGACCUGAGAGGGUGAUCGGCCACACUGGAACUGAGACACGGUCCAGACUCCUACGGGAGGCAGCAGUAGGGAAUCUUCCGCAAUGGGCGAAAGCCUGACGGAGCAACGCCGCGUGAGUGAUGAAGGUCUUCGGAUCGUAAAACUCUGUUAUUAGGGAAGAACAAAUGUGUAAGUAACUAUGCACGUCUUGACGGUACCUAAUCAGAAAGCCACGGCUAACUACGUG